UGGGGAAUAUUGCACAAUGGGCGCAAGCCUGAUGCAGCGACGCCGCGUGAGCGAAGAAGUAUUUCGGUAUGUAAAGCUCUAUCAGCAGGGAAGAAAAUGACGGUACCUGACUAAGAAGCUCCGGCUAAAUACGUGCCAGCAGCCGCGGUAAUACGUAUGGAGCAAGCGUUAUCCGGAUUUACUGGGUGUAAAGGGAGCGUAGACGGAAAGGCAAGUCUGAUGUGAAAGGCGGGGGCUCAACUCCUGGACUGCAUUGGAAACUGUCCUUCUUGAGUGCCGGAGAGGUAAGCGGAAUUCCUAGUG
RNAcentral lists this ribosomal RNA (303 nucleotides) under uncultured bacterium. RNAcentral's name for it is "bacterial SSU rRNA". It matches the Rfam family "Bacterial small subunit ribosomal RNA", at positions 355 to 675 of the family's 1533-position model. The record is from RNAcentral.